RNAcentral lists this non-coding RNA (45 nucleotides) under Trichobilharzia regenti. The record is from RNAcentral. Lineage: Eukaryota; Metazoa; Platyhelminthes; Trematoda; Strigeidida; Schistosomatidae.
AUUUAGAUGAAGAGUCCCAAAUGGGACGAGAUGCGCAUCCUGGAU